CAGAAUACGGCGUACGCAGAAAGAAUCAACUCCGAAACGAAUGGCGUUACGAUUCAUCCAAUUGAUUGUACUACAAUUCUAUUAUUGCACAUCGUGGGAAUAUAAUUUGAAAAGGAGAUUUGACAACUCGAAGAGAGAUCAGACUUAAGGGAGGUAUCGGGCUUCAGUGGAGCAACUUUGCGAUUCAUCGUAGCAACGUAUCUGAUAACUCCACUGUUGCGCAUCGAUCGAAGCCCACGAGGGAUCAUUGAGCGACAGGAUCAGCAUCGAGAGCAGAUACAACGCAGUUUCCGAUCUCAUCUUCGCCGCGGUGUAUUACGGCGCGACUCGCUCCUGCUUCACGUCCUUCCUUCUCC
Long non-coding RNA from Solenopsis invicta (red fire ant), 356 nucleotides. RefSeq lists it as uncharacterized. Lineage: Eukaryota; Metazoa; Arthropoda; Insecta; Hymenoptera; Formicidae. The record is from RefSeq and is a predicted model, not a curated record. The transcript is spliced from 4 exons.